CCUACGGGAGGCAGCAGUGAGGAAUAUUGGUCAAUGGACGAGAGUCUGAACCAGCCAAGUAGCGUGAAGGAUGACUGCCCUAUGGGUUGUAAACUUCUUUUAUAAAGGAAUAAAACGAGGCACGUGUGCCUUUUUGCAUGUACUUUAUGAAUAAGGAUCGGCUAACUCCGUGCCAGCAGCCGCGGUAAUACGGAGGAUCCGAGCGUUAUCCGGAUUUAUUGGGUUUAACGGGAGCGUAGAUGGGUUGUUAAGUCAGUUGUGAAAGUUUGCGGCUCAACCGUAAAAUUGCAAUUGAUACUGGCAGUCGUGAGUACAGUUGAGGUAGGCGGAAUUCGUGGUGUAGCGGUGAAAUGCGUAGAUAUCACGAAGAACCCCGAUUGCGAAGGCAGCUUACUAAACUGUGACUGACAUUGAUGCGCGAAAGUGUGGGUAUCAAACAGGAUUAGAUACCCGGGUAGUC
This 460-nucleotide ribosomal RNA is filed under the name uncultured bacterium. RNAcentral describes it as "partial 16S ribosomal RNA". It matches the Rfam family "Bacterial small subunit ribosomal RNA", at positions 338 to 795 of the family's 1533-position model. The record is from RNAcentral.